This 416-nucleotide ribosomal RNA is filed under the name uncultured eukaryote. Its description in RNAcentral is "SSU rRNA". It matches the Rfam family "Eukaryotic small subunit ribosomal RNA", at positions 592 to 1013 of the family's 1831-position model. The record is from RNAcentral.
CAAUAGCGUAUAUUAAAGUUGUUGCGGUAAAAAAGCUCGUAGUUGGAUUUCUGUUGAGGGCGACCGGUCCGUACCAUGUACGCGCAUCUGGCUCGGCCUCGGCAUCCUCUCGACUGACGUUUCUGCGCUUGAUUGCGUGGUGCGGAUCUCGGGACUUUUACUUUGAGGAAAUUAGAGUGUUCACGGCAGGCUUUCGCCCGAAUACAUUAGCAUGGAAUAAUACUAUAGGAUUUCGGUUCUAUUUUGUUGGUUUCUAGAAUUGAGAUAAUGAUUAAUAGGGACAAUUGGGGGCACUCGUAUCAACACGUCAGAGGUGGAAUUCUUGGAUUGUGUUGCGACGAACUACUGCGAAAGCAUUUGCCAAGGAUGUUUUCAUUGAUCAAGAACGAAAGUACGGGGAUCGAAGAUGAUUAGAU